RNAcentral lists this ribosomal RNA (506 nucleotides) under uncultured bacterium. Its description in RNAcentral is "bacterial SSU rRNA". It matches the Rfam family "Bacterial small subunit ribosomal RNA", at positions 28 to 529 of the family's 1533-position model. The record is from RNAcentral.
GAUGAACGCUAGCGGCAGGCUUAACACAUGCAAGUCGAGGGGCAGCGCGGGUAGCAAUACCUGGCGGCGACCGGCAAACGGGUGCGGAACACGUACAGAACCUACCUUUGUCUGGGGCAUAGCCCGGAGAAAUCCGGAUUAACUCCCCAUAAUAUAUUUGAGUGGCAUCACUUGGAUAUUAAAAAUUUAUUGGACAGAGAUGGCUGUGCGUCCCAUUAGCUAGUUGGUAGGGUAACGGCCUACCAAGGCAACGAUGGGUAGCUGGUGUGAGAGCACGACCAGCCACACGGGCACUGAGACACGGGCCCGACUCCUACGGGAGGCAGCAGUGAGGAAUAUUGGUCAAUGGACGCAAGUCUGAACCAGCCAUGCCGCGUGAAGGAUGAAGGCCUUCUGGGUUGUAAACUUCUUUUACCUGGGAAGAAAACUACGAUUUCUAUCGUAGCCGACGGUACCAGAGGAAUAAGCACCGGCUAACUCCGUGCCAGCAGCCGCGGUAAAGUAGU